Molecule: ribosomal RNA, 497 nt
Filed under: uncultured bacterium
Lineage: Bacteria
Description: partial 16S ribosomal RNA
Rfam family: Bacterial small subunit ribosomal RNA
Source: RNAcentral
GAUGAACGCUGGCGGCGUGCCUAAUACAUGCAAGUCGAGCGAACAGACGAGGCGCCUGCUCCGCUGACGUUAGCGGCGGAGGGGUGAGUAACACGUGUAUAACCUCCCUAUAAGACUGGGAUCACUUCGGGAAACCGGCGCUAAUACCGUAUAAUCUAUUGCACCGCGUGGUUCAAUAGUGAAAUGCGGUUUUGCUGGCACUUAUAGAUGGUUUCGCGCCGCAUUAGCUAGUUGGUAAGGUAACGGGUUACUAAGGCAAGGAUGCGUAGCCGACCUGAGAGGCGGAUAGCCGACACUGGAAGGUGGCCAGCGUCCAGGGGACUAAGAGACGCAGCAGUAGGGAACCGGCGGCAAUGGGCGAGAGCCUGACGGAGCAACGGCGAGCGAGUUACGAAGGUCCUCGGAGCGUAAUACCCUGCUAUUAGUUAAGAACAAAUGUGGAAGGAACCAUGGCCGUCUUGACGGUAACGAAUAAGAAAGCAACGGCUAACUACGUG